Molecule: long non-coding RNA, 1525 nt
Organism: Sorghum bicolor (sorghum)
Lineage: Eukaryota; Viridiplantae; Streptophyta; Magnoliopsida; Poales; Poaceae
Exons: 4
Source: RefSeq, a predicted model, not a curated record
CGUUACUUUUUUUUAAAAAAAAACACGACCUCCCCCUGUCGCGAUAGGGUUCGAGGGACUGCACAACUAUGGAAAGUCUGAUCCAGCUCGGGCCUUUGUGGGGAGGCAGCUCGCUUGCGCCGGGCAGCACGGGGACCGGCGAGGACGGCGCAGCUGCGGGGAGGCAGCGCGGGGAGGACGAAGCGGCUACAGGAUGGCACAACUGUGGAUAGGUGGCAUGACUGCGUCAGGCUCAGGCGGUGCGGGGAGGACGGCGCAGCUGUGGGUAGGCGGUGUGACUGCGUCAGGCUCAGGCGACGCGAGGAGGACGACACAGCUGCGGGGGAGGCGACGCGAAGAAGACGGCACAACUGCGUCAGGCGUCAUGGGGAGCACGGCGCAACUGCGGCGGCGGGGAGAUUGCUGGAUUCAUCGAGAUUCUGAAGCGUCGGCUUCGUCAGGUACGCCGUAUCCUCAAGUGCUACUCCAUGAAGAGCACUGCGUAAUACGGAAUCGGGCAUGAUGACGGUGUCUGCAUCGACAUGGAUUCCGCCCAACAUGUGUUCGAUAAAAUGCACUCAAGGUGCUUGUCCUCCAAGGUUACCUCUCUAGCACUCAUGAUGAUCUCCUUCCUCGUCGGUGUGCCUUUGGCCUAAGUGAUUGACGCUGCACGACGACAUCGUGUAAAUAGCAGCGACACAUGAGCGUUAUAGUCGGAUGAGAUAUCCCAGCCUAAGGUUAUUUGGUCCCUUCAUUUUUUUUUGCGGAAACAAGAGGGGUCAAGGACCCCAGGUCACUGUAAGGAAGAUAUGAAGUCUACUUUUUCUCCAGGCCACUCAUGUUUUUCUCCAGGUCAGAGCUCUUUCGUCAUUGGGAAUGUCUAUGAUCAUUCUGGUCCAUCUCUAAUGGAGCUUCUUUAUCCUGAAUCUAGCAAGCAAGCAUUCAACACACACAAAGGCACUAAAUACUGGUUCACAAUAUGCCAGAAGAAAAAGAUUGUUAUUACUGAUUUUAUCUAUUAAUCUGCUUGUAGUACGGUAAUUCACAAGUUUCACUACCAAAGAUUUUAUCUAUUAACCUGCUGACAAGUUUAUAUGUCAAUACGGAUUCUCCAAUGUUUUGAAAACUUUUAGUUUAUAUUGUCAGGGGAAAACCAUUCUAAGACAGGGGGAAGAAGCUUGUUGGUGGUGGUGUCGCCAUUCUCUUUCUGGUACCAGUAGUUAUAUAGUAUGAGACUGUGAGUUAUGUCUUUUGUCAUUUGAGCAUGUUAUUGUCAAGAGCUUGAAAGGCUUGUCAGCUGGACUCGAGAAACAGCACCCAGGAGAAUUUUAUGACUGCACAAGAGUAGUUCAGUACCAAAGUCUGUAUGAAAGAUUGGAGAUGUGACUAUGGAUUGGAGAUGUUUUGUUCUCUUGACUAAAUAUUUGAAUCGUUGCAUUGAAGUCGUAGUGGUCUUCCACUGCUGAAUCCAUAGUUGUUUAGAUUUCUGUACGAAAACUUGUCUGUACGAAAGAUUUUAAGUUUGGAUGCAUCCAACGUUGAUGUA